This 1005-nucleotide long non-coding RNA is filed under the name Piliocolobus tephrosceles (Ugandan red Colobus). RNAcentral's name for it is "lncRNA (ENSPTEG00000011584.1)". Lineage: Eukaryota; Metazoa; Chordata; Mammalia; Primates; Cercopithecidae. The record is from RNAcentral.
AUAUAUAUAUGUACAAUACUUACAUCGAUUAUUACGUAUAUAAUUCUAUUGCAAGUUAUUUGUUAUUAUUUUUACACUGCUUUUCUUGCGUAUUUAAGUUAAUGUGCAAGCACUAUAUAUGAAUUCAUUUUUUUUUUUUUUUUUUUUUUUUUUUUACCAUUUUUAACUUAUGCAUUUUUUUUUUUUUUUCUAUCGUAUGAUCACAGAACGUCGAUAUAGAGAUACUGAAAUUUUUGCAAUGUGCAUUUAAAGAAGGCGUAAAAGUAAAAAGUGCAGCCGAAGUUGGAAAAAAGGGCUGUGGAGUACUUUAGAGGUGAUGAUUUUGUUAAUUUUAUGAAUGACAAAAAGGAAAUGAUAAAAAAGAAAUUUCCAAAUUUAUUUAGUAAUAAGAAAUUGGCUGAUUUAAAAGAUAUAGAAGAUUUUGCUGACAUGUUAAUACAAAAAGGAUAUAUAUAUAAAGCUCAAUAUAAACCUAUUAAAGGAAUAAAUGAAAUGGAUGAGAAUGGAGUAUAUAAAAGACCUAAAUGGCCUAAAAGAUUAAUUAUGACAUCUAAACAAAAUUUUGAUAAAAAUGGUUUUUAUAUUUUAGUACAUGAAAGAAAUACUAGAUUACAAUAUGUUAUGUUAAUAACAUUAAUAACCAUUGUUUUAAUUUGUUGUAUGUUUCCAGUUUGGCCAUUAAAAUUAAAAUUAGCAUUAUGGCAUUUAUCAGUAGUAUUUAUAUGUUUAAUUUCUUUUAUAGUAAUAGGAAGGUUAAUAACAUUUUUAUUUUUUUGGUUUUUUGGAGUCGAUUAUUGGAUAUUUCCUAAUUUAUUUGAUGAAGAAUGUAAUGUGAUUGAAUCAUUUAUUCCUUUUCAUACGUGGCAUUAUCGAAACGAUACAUGGUUUCUUGUCAUUGCUCGAGCAUUUACUGCUGUUUUAUUGGCAAUAGGUAUACACCAAUUAGGAAAAACACAUUCUAUAUCAGAUAUUCAAAAUUUUGCAAAACAGUCAUUUAUUGACAUA